This 660-nucleotide ribosomal RNA is filed under the name uncultured bacterium. Its description in RNAcentral is "bacterial SSU rRNA". It matches the Rfam family "Bacterial small subunit ribosomal RNA", at positions 44 to 693 of the family's 1533-position model. The record is from RNAcentral.
AGGCCUAACACAUGCAAGUCGAGGGGCAGCACAUAAAGUAUUUCGGUACUUUUGGUGGCGACCGGCGGAUGGGUGCGUAACGCGUAUGCAACCUGCCCUGAACAGGGGGAUAAUUCGGAGAAAUCUGGUCUAAUACCCCAUAAUAUCAGAACCGGCAUCGGUUUUGGUUGAAAGCUCCGGCGGUUCGGGAUGGGCAUGCGUGACAUUAGCUAGUUGGUGAGGUAAUGGCUCACCAAGGCUACGAUGUCUAGGGGGACUGAGAGGUUUACCCCCCACACUGGUACUGAGACACGGACCAGACUCCUACGGGAGGCAGCAGUGAGGAAUAUUGGUCAAAGGACGCAAGUCUGAACCAGCCAUGCCGCGUGCAGGAAGACGGCUCUAUGAGUUGUAAACUGCUUUUGUACGAGGGUAAACGCGGAUACGUGUAUCCGUUUGAAAGUACCGUACGAAUAAGGAUCGGCUAACUCCGUGCCAGCAGCCGCGGUAAUACGGAGGAUCCAAGCGUUAUCCGGAUUUAUUGGGUUUAAAGGGUGCGUAGGCGGUUUGUUAAGUUAGAGGUGAAAUUCCGUGGCUCAACCACGGCCCUGCCUCUGAUACUGACAGGCUAGAGAGAAGUUGCUGUGGGCGGAAUGUGUGGUGUAGCGGUGAAAUGCUUAG